RNAcentral lists this ribosomal RNA (439 nucleotides) under uncultured bacterium. RNAcentral's name for it is "partial 16S ribosomal RNA". It matches the Rfam family "Bacterial small subunit ribosomal RNA", at positions 339 to 795 of the family's 1533-position model. The record is from RNAcentral.
CUACGGGAUGCAGCAGUAGGGAAUCUUAGACAAUGGGGGAAACCCUGAUCUAGCCAUGCCGCGUGAGUGAUGAAGGCCUUAGGGUUGUAAAGCUCUUUCGCUGGGGAAGAUAAUGACGGUACCCAGUAAAGAAACCCCGGCUAACUCCGUGCCAGCAGCCGCGGUAAUACGGAGGGGGUUAGCGUUGUUCGGAAUUACUGGGCGUAAAGCGUGCGUAGGCGGGCUAUUAAGUCAGGGGUGAAAUCCCGGGGCUCAACCCCGGAACUGCCUUUGAUACUGGUAGUCUUGAGUUCGAGAGAGGUGAGUGGAAUUUCGAGUGUAGAGGUGAAAUUCGUAGAUAUUCGGAGGAACAUCAGUGGCGAAGGCGACUCACUGGCUCGAUACUGACGCUGAGGUGCGAAAGUGUGGGGAGCAAACAGGAUUAGAUACCCGCGUAGUC